RNAcentral lists this ribosomal RNA (497 nucleotides) under uncultured bacterium. Its description in RNAcentral is "partial 16S ribosomal RNA". It matches the Rfam family "Bacterial small subunit ribosomal RNA", at positions 28 to 507 of the family's 1533-position model. The record is from RNAcentral.
GAUGAACGCUGGCGGCGUGCCUAAUACAUGCAAGUCGAGCGAACAGACGAGGAGCUUGCUCCUCUGACGUUAGCGGCGGACGGGUGAGUAACACGUGGAUAACCUACCUAUAAGACUGGGAUAACUUCGGGAAACCGGAGCUAAUACCGGAUAAUAUAUUGAACCGCAUGGUUCAAUAGUGAAAGACGGUUUUGCUGUCACUUAUAGAUGGAUCCGCGCCGCAUUAGCUAGAUGGUAAGGUAACGGCUUACCAAGGCAACGAUGCGUAGCCGACCUGAGAGGGUGAUCGGCCACACUGGAACUGAGACACGGUCCAGACUCCUACGGGAGGCAGCAGUAGGGAAUCUUCCGCAAAGGGCGAAAGCCUGACGGAGCAACGCCGCGUGAGUGAUGAAGGUCUUCGGAUCGUAAAACUCUGUUAUUAGGGAAGAACAAAUGUGUAAGUAACUAUGCACGUCUUGACGGUACCUAAUCAGAAAGCCACGGCUAACUACGUG